RNAcentral lists this ribosomal RNA (460 nucleotides) under uncultured bacterium. RNAcentral describes it as "partial 16S ribosomal RNA". It matches the Rfam family "Bacterial small subunit ribosomal RNA", at positions 338 to 795 of the family's 1533-position model. The record is from RNAcentral.
CCUACGGGAGGCUGCAGUGGGGAAUAUUGGUCAAUGGACGGAAGUCUGAACCAGCCAUGCCGCGUGCAGGAUGACGGAUCUAUGAGUUGUAAACUGCAUUUGUACGAGAAUAAUAGUUCUUACGUGAAGGGAAUUGAAUGGAUCGUUCGAAUACAGCUCGGCUAACUACGUGCCAGCAGCCGCCGUAAUACGGAGGAUUCGAGCGUUAUCCGGAUUUAUUGGGUGUAAAGGGUGCGUAGGCUGUCGUAUAAGUUAGAGGUCAAAUGUCGGGGCUUAACCCCGUGCCUGCCUGUGAUACUGUUCGACUGGAGAGCGGAUGAAGCAGGCGGAAGGAGUAGUGUAGCGGUGAAAUGCUUAGAUAUUAGUCAGAACACCGAUGGCGCAGGCAGCUUGCUAAUCCGCAUCUGACGCUGAUGCACGAAAGCGUGGGGAGCGAACAGGAUUAGAUACCCUAGUAGUC